RNAcentral lists this ribosomal RNA (3164 nucleotides) under human oral metagenome. Its description in RNAcentral is "bacterial LSU rRNA". It matches the Rfam family "Bacterial large subunit ribosomal RNA", at positions 1 to 2554 of the family's 2925-position model. The record is from RNAcentral.
GUAAGCUACUAAGAGCGAACGGUGGAUGCCUUGGCUAGUAGAGGCGAUGAAAGACGUGCCAGGCUGCGAUAAGUCUCGGGGAGCCGUCAAGGGGCUUUGAUCCGGGAAUUUCUGAAUGGGGCAACCCAAUACAUAGUGAUAUGUGUUACCAUUAAUGGAGCUAACGCGGGGAACUGAAACAUCUAAGUACCCGCAGGAAGAGAAAUCAAUAGAGAUUACGCUAGUAGCGGCGAGCGAACGCGUAAGAGGGCAAACCACUAGUUUACUAGUGGGGUUGUAGGACCGCAACAUAGACUAGGAUCUGAUAAUAGAACAAUCUGGAAAGGUUAGGCAUAGAGGGUGAUACUCCCGUAUAUGAAAUCACAUCCUUACUUAGCGGUAUCCUGAGUAGGACGGGACACGUGAAAUCCUGUCUGAAGCCGGGUCGACCACGAUCCAACCCUAAAUACUACUACUAGACCGAUAGCGUACAAGUACCGUGAGGGAAAGGUGAAAAGAACGGCGGUGAGCCGAGUGAAAUAGAACCUGAAACCGUUUGCUUACAAUCAUUCAGAGCACUAUGCUAUACUCUUUAAAAUUAAUCCAGCUUGGCUUUUUAGCCCUUUUUUAUGAAACUGCGACUGCGGCAGCCAGAUCCGGCUAGCCUUGUCUUGUUUCAUAAAAAAUCAUCUAAAAAUCCUGCGCAUUUGAAAUUCUAAAUUUUGAUCUGAUAAAAUUUCAUCAUAAACGACACAAACAGAGCUUUAUGGUCUAAAUUUAGAAGUAACGAUUAACGAUUAGUUUUAAUGAGUAUAGCAGUGUGAUGGACUGCCUUUUGCAUAAUGAGCCUGCGAGUUGUGGUGUCUGGCGAGGUUAAGGAAACCCGGAGCCGUAGCGAAAGCGAGUCUUAAUAGGGCGUUUAGUCAGAUGCUGCAGACCCGAAACGAUGUGAUCUAUCCAUGAGCAGGUUGAAGCCGGUGUAAGAGCCGGUGGAGGACCCAACCCGCUGGCGUUGAAAAGCCAUGGGAUGACUUGUGGAUAGGGGUGAAAGGCCAAUCAAACAUCGUGAUAGCUGGUUCUCUCCGAAAUAUAUUUAGGUAUAGCGUCAUGUAGUAACACUAGGGGGUAGAGCACUGAAUGGGCUAGGGCAUACACCAAUGUACCAAACCCUAUCAAACUCCGAAUACCUAGUGUGUAAUCAUGGCAGUCAGGCGGCGAGUGAUAAAAUCCGUCGUCGAGAGGGGAACAACCCAGACUAACAGCUAAGGUCCCUAAAUCUCAUUUAAGUGGAAAACGAUGUGGAGUUACUUAAACAACCAGGAGGUUGGCUUAGAAGCAGCCAUCCUUUAAAGAAAGCGUAAUAGCUCACUGGUCUAGUGAUUUUGCGCGGAAAAUAUAACGGGGCUAAAAUGAGUACCGAAGCUUUAGACUUGCACUUAAUCAUUUAUACUUGGCUUGGCUUUUGAGCGUCUUUAAAUGAGCUCGUAAAAAUAAAUGCUCACGAACUAUAUGUUCGCUCCGCUUUAUUUUUACGUUGCAACAUUUAAAUCCAUCUCAAAAAUCCUGCGCCAUCUUGAGUUCAAAUUUGAACUAAACGUCUUAAUCUAAAAUUCUAUAAAUUUUAAAUUUCUUAGAAUUUUAAAAUUUAGCAACAAAAGCAAAAAGACAAGCAAAGCUUUUAAGAUAAAGGCGAAGUAUUUUUGUCUUUAGGCGAGGCGAAUUUUAGCGAAGCAAGGGAGUUAUCGUUUGGAUAAUGACCGAAGCUGAGCGAAAAUUCAACGAAGCAUAAAGCAAAAAAGACAAGCCGCAAGAAAAGUAUAAAUCAUUAAGUGCAAGUGGUAGGAGAGCGUUCCAAUCAGCGUCGAAGCCGUACCGGCAAGGAGCGGUGGAGCGGUUGGAAGUGAGCAUGCAGGCAUGAGUAGCGAUAAAAUACGUGAGAAUCGUAUUCGCCGUAAACCCAAGGUUUCCUACGCGAUGCUCGUCAUCGUAGGGUUAGUCGGGUCCUAAGCAAAGUCCGAAAGGGGUAUGCGAUGGAAAAUCGGUUAAUAUUCCGAUACCGAUAUCAGUGUGCGACGGAAGGACGCUUAAAGUUAGUGGAGCUAGCGGAUGGAAGUGCUAGUCUAAGGAAGUAGGUUGAGUUAUAGGCAAAUCCGUAACUCUUUAUCCGAGAUCUGAAAGGCUUCUGACGCUCUUCGGAGUAGAUGAAGAAUCCAUGAUACUAUCGAGCCGAGAAAAGUUUCUAAGUUUAGCUGAUAUCGCCCGUACCGUAAACCGACACAGGUGGGUGGGAUGAGUAUUCUAAGGCGCGUGGAAGAACUCUCUUCAAGGAACUCUGCAAAAUAGCACCGUAUCUUCGGUAUAAGGUGUGCCUAACUUUGUGAAGGAUUUACUCCGUAAGCAUUGAAGGUUACAACAAAGAGUCCCUCCCGACUGUUUACCAAAAACACAGCACUCUGCUAACUCGUAAGAGGAUGUAUAGGGUGUGACGCCUGCCCGGUGCUCGAAGGUUAAUUGAUGACGUUAGCUUACGCAAAGCGUCUGAUCGAAGCCCGAGUAAACGGCGGCCGUAACUAUAACGGUCCUAAGGUAGCGAAAUUCCUUGUCGAUUAAAUAUCGACCUGCAUGAAUGGCGUAACGAGAUGGGAGCUGUCUCGAAGAGGGAUCCAGUGAAAUUGUAGUGGAGGUGAAAAUUCCUCCUACCCGCGGCAAGACGGAAAGACCCCGUGGACCUUUACUACAGCUUGACACUGCUAUUGGGAUAAAAAUGUGCAGGAUAGGUGGGAGGCUUUGAUCCAUAGACGCCAGUUUAUGGUGAGCCAUUGUUGAGAUACCACUCUUUUUUAUUCUGAUAGCUAACUAGCUUGAGUUAUCCUCAAGUAGGACAAUGUCUGGUGGGUAGUUUGACUGGGGCGGUCGCCUCCCAAAAUGUAACGGAGGCUUACAAAGGUUGGCUCAGAACGGUUGGAAAUCGUUCGCAGAGUAUAAAGGCAAAAGCCAGCUUAACUGCGAGACAUACACGUCGAGCAGAGACGAAAGUCGGUCUUAGUGAUCCGGUGGUUCUGUGUGGAAGGGCCAUCGCUCAAAGGAUAAAAGGUACCCCGGGGAUAACAGGCUGAUCUCCCCCAAGAGCUCACAUCGACGGGGAGGUUUGGCACCUCGAUGUCGGCUCAUCGCAUCCUGGGGCU